CAGUCGCCGCGGGAAUACGGAGGGGGCUAGCGUUGUUCGGAAUUACUGGGCGUAAAGCGCACGUAGGCGGCUUUGUAAGUUAGAGGUGAAAGCCCGGAGCUCAACUCCGGAAUUGCCUUUAAGACUGCAGAGCUAGCAGGUGAGAGAGGUGAGUGGAAUUCCGAGUGUAGAGGUGAAAUGCGUAGAGAUCUGGAGGAAUACCGGUGGCGAAGGCGGCCCCCUGACAAAGACUGACGCUCAGGUGCGAAAGCGUGGGGAGCAAACAGGAUUAGAUACCCCUGUAGUCCCUGUCUCUUAUACC
RNAcentral lists this ribosomal RNA (301 nucleotides) under uncultured bacterium. RNAcentral's name for it is "partial 16S ribosomal RNA". It matches the Rfam family "Bacterial small subunit ribosomal RNA", at positions 509 to 808 of the family's 1533-position model. The record is from RNAcentral.